This 472-nucleotide ribosomal RNA is filed under the name uncultured bacterium. RNAcentral describes it as "bacterial SSU rRNA". It matches the Rfam family "Bacterial small subunit ribosomal RNA", at positions 355 to 825 of the family's 1533-position model. The record is from RNAcentral.
UGGGGAAUUUUGGACAAUGGGGGCAACCCUGAUCCAGCCAUUCCGCGUGAGUGAAGAAGGCCUUCGGGUUGUAAAGCUCUUUCAGCAGGAACGAAACGGUCGGCUUUAAUAAAGUCGGCUAAUGACGGUACCUGCAGAAGAAGCACCGGCUAACUACGUGCCAGCAGCCGCGGUAAUACGUAGGGUGCGAGCGUUAAUCGGAAUUACUGGGCGUAAAGCGUGCGCAGGCGGCGACAUAAGACAGAUGUGAAAUCCCCGGGCUCAACCUGGGAACUGCGUUUGUGACUGUGUUGCUAGAGUGUAGCAGAGGGGGGUGGAAUUCCACGUGUAGCAGUGAAAUGCGUAGAGAUGUGGAGGAACACCGAUGGCGAAGGCAGCCCCCUGGGUUAACACUGACGCUCAUGCACGAAAGCGUGGGGAGCAAACAGGAUUAGAUACCCUCGUAGUCCCUGAGCGGGCUGGCAAGGCGCAU